GAAUGUGUGAUGGCCCCAUCCCGGGGUACUGAAUACAAUCAAACUGCGAAUGUCAUUAAGGAUGUCCGGCAGUCAGACUGUGAGUGAUAAGGUCCAUGGUCAAGAGGGAAACAGCCCAGACCGCCAGUUAAGGUCCCAAAAUACAGGCUAAGUGGAAAAGGAUGUGGGGAUGCACAGACAACUAGGAGGUUGGCUCAGAAGCAGCCACCCUUCAAAGAGUGCGUAACAGCUCACUAGUCGAGUGACCCUGCGCCGAAAAUGUACCGGGGCUAAGCCUGAUACCGAAACUGCGGAUUGUAGGAAACUAUAGUGGUAGGGGAGCGUUGUAUACGAGUAGAAGCCGUACCGUGAGGAGCGGUGGAUUGUAUAGAAGUGAGAAUGCCGGUGUGAGUAGCGAGAUGUAGGUGAGAAUCCUACACACCGAUAGCCCAAGGGUUCCAGGGGAAGGUUCGUCCGCCCUGGGUAAGUCGGGACCUAACGCGAGGCCGAAAGGCGUAGUGGAUGGAAAGCAGGCGAAAGAUUCCUGCACCCGUAUAUGGAGCGAAGGAGUGACGGAGACGGAUAGUGUGACCCUCUUAAUGGAUUGAGGGCGAAGCGAAGCGGCUGGUUACCAGGCAAAUCCGGUAACUGAAAGGCUAGAGCGUGACAGGUAAGCGAAAUCUUAGGAAAGUAGCGAAGCACAUGAUGACGGCUUCCAGGAAAAGCUUCUGGCAAUGCAUAUGCGGCCCGUACCAAAACCGACACAGGUGGGCAGGGAGAGAAUCCCGAGGUGAGCGAGAGAACUGUUGCCAAGGAACUCGGCAAAAUGACUCCGUAAGUUAGCGAGAAGGAGUGCUUAAGCAAUUAAGCCGCAGUGAAGAGGCCCAAGCGACUGUUUAACUAAAACACAGCUCUCUGCGAAGUCGCAAGACGAAGUAUAGGGGGUGACACCUGCCCGGUGCUGGAAGGUUAAGAGGAUCUGUUAAGAGCGAUCUGAAGCAGUGAUCCGAAGCCCCAGUGAACGGCGGCCGUAACUAUAACGGUCCUAAGGUAGCGAAAUUCCUUGUCAGGUAAGUUCUGACCCGCACGAAAGGUGUAACGAUUUGGGCGCUGUCUCGGCAGCAGACUCGGUGAAAUCUUAGUACCUGUGAAAAUGCAGGUUACCCGCAACUAGACGGAAAGACCCCAUGGAGCUUUACUGCAGCCUGAUAUUGAAUUCUGGUCAUACAUGUACAGGAUAGGUGGGAGACAAAGAGACGUGCACGCCAGUGUACGAGGAGUCGACGUUGGGAUACCACUCUUGUGUGACCGGGGUUCUAACCUGGUAUCGAGAACAGGUACGGGGAGAGUGUCAGGUGGGCAGUUUGACUGGGGCGGUCGCCUCCCAAAGAGUAACGGAGGCGCCCAAAGGUACGCUCAGAUUGGAUGGAAACCAAUCGUCGAGUGCAAUUGCAGAAGCGUGCUUGACUGUGAGACAGACAAGUCGAACAGGGACGAAAGUCGGGAAUAGUGAUCCGGCGGUGCCGAAUGGAAGGGCCGUCGCUCAACGGAUAAAAGCUACCCUGGGGAUAACAGGCU
Molecule: ribosomal RNA, 1557 nt
Filed under: wastewater metagenome
Description: bacterial LSU rRNA
Rfam family: Bacterial large subunit ribosomal RNA
Source: RNAcentral